AAGACCUUGCACUUUUGGAGCGGCCGAUGUCUGAUUAGCUAGUUGGUGGGGUAAUGGCCUACCAAAGCUUCGAUCAGUAGCUGGUCUGAGAGGACGGCCAGCCACACUGGGACUGAGACACGGCCCAGACUCCUACGGGAGGCAGCAGUGGGGAAUUUUGGACAAUGGGCGCAAGCCUGAUCCAGCCAUGCCGCGUGAGUGAAGAAGGCCUUCGGGUUGUAAAGCUCUUUCAGCCGGGAAGAAAAGGUCGCGAUUAAUAAUCGCAAUUUAUGACGGUACCGGAAGAAGAAGCACCGGCUAACUACGUGCCAGCAGCCGCGGUAAUACGUAGGGUGCGAGCGUUAAUCGGAAUUACUGGGCGUAAAGCGUGCGCAGGUGGUUUUGUAAGUCAGAUGUGAAAGCCCCGGGCUCAACCUGGGAACU
RNAcentral lists this ribosomal RNA (423 nucleotides) under uncultured bacterium. Its description in RNAcentral is "bacterial SSU rRNA". It matches the Rfam family "Bacterial small subunit ribosomal RNA", at positions 207 to 622 of the family's 1533-position model. The record is from RNAcentral.